Molecule: ribosomal RNA, 508 nt
Filed under: uncultured Planctomycetota bacterium
Lineage: Bacteria; Pseudomonadati; Planctomycetota
Description: bacterial SSU rRNA
Rfam family: Bacterial small subunit ribosomal RNA
Source: RNAcentral
UCGAGAAUCUUCGGCAAUGGGCGCAAGCCUGACCGAGCGACGCCGCGUGCGGGAUGAAGGCCUUCGGGUUGUAAACCGCUGUCAGAGGGAAGGAAAUUUUGACCGAUCCUCAGAGGAAGUACGGGCUAAGUUCGUGCCAGCAGCCGCGGUAACACGAACCGUACGAACGUUAUUCGGAAUUACUGGGCUUAAAGAGUGCGUAGGCGGCGCGGAAAGUUGGGUGUGAAAUCCCUCGGCUCAACCGAGGAACUGCGCUCAAAACUGCCGUGCUCGAGGGAGACAGAGGUGAGCGGAACUGAUGGUGGAGCGGUGAAAUGCGUUGAUAUCAUCAGGAACACCAGUGGCGAAGGCGGCUCACUGGGUCUCUUCUGACGCUGAGGCACGAAAGCGUAGGGGAGCGAACGGGAUUAGACUACCCCGGUAGUCCUAGCUAGUAAACGAUGAGCACGUAGGUCGGACGGGGACCCCCACACUCCUCUCCGGCCGUAGCGAAAGUAUUAAGUGCUCC